UACGUAGGGUGCGAGCGUUGUCCGGAAUUAUUGGGCGUAAAGGGCUCGUAGGCGGUUUGUCGCGUCGGGAGUGAAAACUCAGGGCUUAACCCUGAGCCUGCUUCCGAUACGGGCAGACUAGAGGUAUGCAGGGGAGAACGGAAUUCCUGGUGUAGCGGUGAAAUGCGCAGAUAUCAGGAGGAACACCGGUGGCGAAGGCGGGUCUCUGGGCCGAUACUGACGCUGAGGUGCGAAAGCGUGGGGAGCAAACAGG
RNAcentral lists this ribosomal RNA (253 nucleotides) under uncultured bacterium. RNAcentral's name for it is "partial 16S ribosomal RNA". It matches the Rfam family "Bacterial small subunit ribosomal RNA", at positions 524 to 776 of the family's 1533-position model. The record is from RNAcentral.